RNAcentral lists this long non-coding RNA (981 nucleotides) under Panax ginseng (ginseng). RNAcentral's name for it is "long non-coding RNA (PGIN_LNC011678)". Lineage: Eukaryota; Viridiplantae; Streptophyta; Magnoliopsida; Apiales; Araliaceae. The record is from RNAcentral.
CUAACUAAUCUUAUAAUUAUUUACACUUACACCAUUAAGUUCCCAAUUUAGGAUUUUAUACACCGAAUUAGGAUUUCGGAUUUCCGGAACUGAAAUUAGGGUUUCCAGAACCAGUUUCUAGGGUUUCUUAGAAUUCAUAACGGUUUUAUACCUGAACGUUGUCGUUCUUAAUAUAUACUUAGGGUUUGUUACAGAUAUCGUUUAUCUGGUCAACCCUUGACCCUUAACCACAUACUGUACAUAUAUACACAGAACAUAUUCACUUAUUCCUUAAUCCUGAAUAAUUCGCCUAAAUCUUUCACAGAAUUUUAAAACCCUUAAAAUUCCUUCUCAAAAAUAUCAAACGCAUACACUUAUUUUCUGUCUAGGUUCUAAUUUCGAACCUUAAAUUAAUUAAUAAAAUUUUUAAAAAUAUUCUAAAUUCUCGGUUUGUCACAGCAUACGCUGAACUGCUCAUUCAAUUCCUAUAUAACACAUAAGGAGAAAACAUAAACACCAAUUAGUCAUAUAUUGAACUUACGCAUUGGUUUACUUAACUUUACUUAUUAGGGUUUGCGUUCUUGCAAUAUAAGUUUAUGCGACUAACUUCCUUUACCAAUUUACGGCUUUAUGACAUACGGAGAUGUCUUACUUACGUUCAUCAUCUUGGAUGAUUUAUAUUCUUAUCUUAUCCGAACCAUUAAACUUAAUGUUCGUUAAAUCAAUUUCUUAUUCUUUACGGCUUUCUAGCAACUAAAUAUCAUACCUUAAGAUUCAUUCCUUAUCGACUCACAUUCGGCUUUCAUUAAUCUUAUUACCGUUUGUUACUGCUUUCGUGAUAAUUUCUAUUUUAUUAAUACUUUCGUUAUCCAUUAUAUGAACCCCAUGUUCAUUACCCUCGAUGCUCAACGUCUAAGGAAUCACAACCAUAGCAAUCCCUCGCGUUCGUUCAUCGCGACUACGGUCCCCGGAUAUCAGUUACGUAACCUGCGUUUUAUAUUC